This 253-nucleotide ribosomal RNA is filed under the name uncultured bacterium. RNAcentral describes it as "partial 16S ribosomal RNA". It matches the Rfam family "Bacterial small subunit ribosomal RNA", at positions 524 to 776 of the family's 1533-position model. The record is from RNAcentral.
UACGGAGGGUGCAAGCGUUGUCCGGAUUUAUUGGGUUUAAAGGGUGCGUAGGCGGCUUGGUAAGUCCGUGGUGAAAGCCAACAGCUCAACUGUUGAACUGCCAUGGAUACUGCCGGGCUUGAGUACAGACGAGGUAGGCGGAAUUGACGGUGUAGCGGUGAAAUGCAUAGAUAUCGUCAAGAACACCGAUUGCGAAGGCAGCUUACUAGGCUGUAACUGACGCUGAGACACGAAAGCGUGGGUAGCAAACAGG